This 275-nucleotide unclassified non-coding RNA is filed under the name fungal sp. RNAcentral describes it as "partial contains internal transcribed spacer 1". Lineage: Eukaryota; Fungi. The record is from RNAcentral.
AAGUCGUAACAAGGUUUUUCCUUCCGGUUAAAAGCUUUAACCCGCUGAAGCCUGACAUGGGCGACUAUAAAAUAAUCAUGGAGUCUUGCCAAAUGGGCAGGACAAUACCGCUGAAUUGCUGUGAUCAAACGAAUUGUUGUACCAGCAGCCCGUAACAGGGCCCACAGAUCAAGCCGCGGUGGUUCCACCUAGAAAAUAAUUAGGCAGAACUUCAAUAUGACCGGUCUCGCCUGUGACGGCUGAGAGUGUACGUUCCGUAGGUGAACCUGCGGAAG